UGCUGUGUCCAUAUCCUGUUGUAGUGUC
RNAcentral lists this non-coding RNA (28 nucleotides) under Mus musculus (house mouse). Lineage: Eukaryota; Metazoa; Chordata; Mammalia; Rodentia; Muridae. The record is from RNAcentral.